Molecule: ribosomal RNA, 479 nt
Filed under: uncultured bacterium
Lineage: Bacteria
Description: bacterial SSU rRNA
Rfam family: Bacterial small subunit ribosomal RNA
Source: RNAcentral
AGUGAACGCUGGCGGCGUGCUUAACACAUGCAAGUCGAACGAGAACGGAUUAUAGCUUGCUAUAAUUGUCAGCUAAGUGGCGCACGGGUGAGUAAUGUAUAGAUAACCUGCCCUUAAGAAAGGAAUAACAGUUGGAAACGACUGCUAAUGCCUUAUAUGCCUUUAAUACAUAAGUAUGCAAGGGAAACGCUUUGGUGCUUAAGGAUGGGUCUGUAUGGUAUCAGUUAGUUGGUGGGGUAAUGUCCUACCAAGACAAUGACGCCUAACUGGUUUGAGAGGAUGAUCAGUCACACUGGAACUGAGACACGGUCCAGACUCCUACGGGAGGCAGCAGUGGGGAAUAUUGCACAAUGGACGAAAGUCUGAUGCAGCAACGCCGCGUGGAGGAUGACACAUUUCGGUGCGUAAACUCCUUUUAUAUAGGAAGAUAAUGACGGUACUAUAUGAAUAAGCACCGGCUAACUCCGUGCCAGCAGCCG